Molecule: long non-coding RNA, 703 nt
Filed under: Sus scrofa (pig)
Lineage: Eukaryota; Metazoa; Chordata; Mammalia; Artiodactyla; Suidae
Description: lncRNA (ENSSSCG00025026523.1)
Source: RNAcentral
UAACUUUUGUGUAGGGGGUUGGCAGAGCACAUAUUCGCGGCCUAAGGGACGGUUGGCAUAAGGGUUGGCAAGGCGUUCACACGCGAGGGAAACUUCCGAGGAGUGAGAACAGCCCUGUGCAGGGUCGUGAAUGGGGGGUGGGAGGGAACCGAAGAAUCUUUGAACUCCAGGGCUUUAGGGAAUUUGGGGAAGGGAAACUGGGGGUGGCCAAAGCGGCUAGACCUUUGCGGGACUUCAACGCUCCCCACCUCUCCUCUCUGCCAGCCCACGUGCGGCAAAGCAAGGGUUCGGCGGCCGAACUGAGUAAGAGCCCGGGCGUCUGGGCAGGAGGGAGGAGGGCUAGGCCAGGAGGAAGGAGUCCGGGCCGCCGCCGCCCCGCCCGUCGGGCUGUCCGCCCCGCCUACCCCGAGCGAGGCGGAGCCGGCGCCCGCCCGGAGGAGCAGGAGGAGGAGGAGAGGUCGGAGCCGUCUCCAGGAGCCCUUAGAGACAGAGUCCCCGGCAGCAGCGGUGGUGGCAGGGGCAGCGCUCUGGCAGGCGAAUUCAUCCCAUCACCUAAAACCUGGUAACAGUGGGCCACACAGAGUCUUACUGGUGAAAACCCUCAGCGAAGAUGUCAAGCAAAACAGCCAGCACCAACAACAUCGCGCAGGCAAGGAGGACGGUGCAGCAGCUAAGGAUGGAAGCUUCCAUUGAAAGAAUAAAG